Molecule: long non-coding RNA, 2316 nt
Filed under: Triticum aestivum (bread wheat)
Lineage: Eukaryota; Viridiplantae; Streptophyta; Magnoliopsida; Poales; Poaceae
Description: long non-coding RNA (TAES_LNC003835)
Source: RNAcentral
GCUACUUUCCCGAUGUGCACAAGUACAGCUCUAGAAAGAUCGUGGAUGGACUGACAGCUCCACAUUUUUUUUCUCCCCUCCUAUGCGUCCCACACACUUGCCUAAAUGAGAUGCAGGGUGAGAUCAAGACGGGCAGCAGCGGCUGUGCCUCGCCGGAGCAGAACCAGCCGGUGUGAGUGACAGGAGCCACCACCUACAUCAACACGUGGCUCGUCUGCACCGUACUCCCGUAGGGCCGCCGUGUCCACGGCAUGGUGAGGGACCUGGAUGUGCCACCUAUUCGUUUGCAUCCCUAUAUUGAAAAUCAAUCAACAAUGGAACCAAUUCAACACCUGAUUACGAAACAAUUAGAGCAAGCAUCUUGAGUUUUGGUAACCAUUCAGAAGAAACCACAAGUUGGACAGCAUAUAGACUACAAACAACUUUUUGUUUGAGAAAAAAUAGAAAAGUCCAACAAGCAACCCUUCAGGAAAGCAAUAUAUAACCAAAAAAACUAAAACAACGCCAAAAUCUUAUAGACAUAAUCUAUUUGAACUAGUAGACUGCCCGUGCGUUGCCACGGGCCAACGAAUAAAUUUGUAAACAAUGCUCAAGUUACCCUUCCCAAACGAAGACAUUGCACGCAAUGUUCAACCAAAACACAAAUGCAAGUAUCUUCUCUCUAUUCCAACAAACGCCAUGCACCCCAUCUAGCCUCUCUUUUCUAUUGAACUUCUCCCUAGCACUCUUUGUCCAUACAUCAACCAUCCUCUCAAUCUACUGCCCCUUAUUCUUUAUGUGGCUUCUAUGUCAUUGUUUUGUUGUCUCGCUCUACUACGUAUGUUAAAAAUAUAGCAUAUACAAGGCACCUCACCUUAGUAGAAAUGGUAAGAAAAUGUGCCAUAUGAACAUGAAAACAUUCUUUCCACAAGUUCAUUCACAAACUAAUAAUGCUUUGUUUAUCUCUCUGCUCUACUUCCAUCUCCACCUAAGAUGCAUAUCCCCGUCACUUUAUCUCACUAAUACAUUUUUUCCUACGAGCCUCAAAUAUACAUACAAGAAUCACACUACGAGGUUGCGUCAUUGUCAUUCCAUCUCUUCUUUCACUUCGGCACUUUUGGUAGAACGGCCGUGCGUUGCCACGGGCCUUUUAAUUUUUCGGCCCUGAGAACAAAUUAUGCAUUUGUGCUCAAAAUCAAUGUAUUCUCAUGCUAGACCCUGUAUUCUAUUUCCCCUUGACAUUUCCAGGUUCAGACAAAACUCUUAACAAAAAAAGGUAGACAUAUCCAUCUAUCGAACCAACAUCACCUUGAUUCAGAGGAGAUCCAUUGUCUCCUUAGGGGCGAGUCAUUUUUUUCUUCCCUGCCACAAGUGUGCUUCAUUCACUCAUACUACCACUUCCGGUACUGUGCAUCAAGUUGCAUAAACUUCACUACUGAAAUAGUAAUAUUCAGCUAUCUUACCAUACGACUUCAAUAAUCAGUAACAAUUUCCAAUCGAAGUUCCCAGUUCAAAAAGUAGAGUGGUCUACUUCAUCAUGCUCUCGCAGGGUGGAUUUCCUCAUCCAUUAUAUAAACUUUAUUUAUCAUGCACUCUUUCUGAUGGAUUUGGUUGCAUAAGUCUAAAAUAGCAUCAGAUUAAAUCAAACAGCAUUAUACAUAACAAGCUGCAAUUCUACAGAAUCUGCUUACCUCUAUAGGUGCAUGAUAUCCCGGACGUCAUACUGGCCACCCUUAGAUGGGGCCACCUCGUCGUCAACCGCUCCCGCAUCCCUCACCCUGUCAAAUCCGGUCGCAGCAUACUCGGAAUUCAAGAAUGCCCGUGCGGCGUUAGUGAAAUAGAUUAGCACAUUCUAGCCAAACGUAGCGCCUUCCAGCAGUCCUGUGGUCAUUACGAAGGAUCGAUGUCCCUGCCCCUAUUCCACUUUCAAUAUGAUGCAUCCAUAUUCUGUUUAUAAUAAUUCCUCGCAGAUUUCAGUUGCAUAAUCAACACUUUUAUUAUGCGAACCAAUUAAUGAACCAGAGAAGGAUUUUUAUUGUUACCUUUGGCUUUAAGUCAUGUAUGUUUACGGAAAAAGGCUUUCGCCCCGCUUUAUAUAUAAAGCACCGUUCAAUAUCACCCAGUACAAACUCACGCCCACACACCCAAGGCAAGAUACAUAAGCGCUGAGCGCGGCAAUACCAUCCCUAGCACUACGUGAAGAGGUGAAACCACAUAUGAUGAACCCGUGGGCUCCUAGGCAGCGCCUUCAUGAAGGGGACGACACCAGAGCGCCGCCGCCGCUCGAUCCGAGGAUAGAGUUUCCCCCGGAGCAACACAAAGGGCAAUGAGAGCCGC